Molecule: ribosomal RNA, 292 nt
Filed under: uncultured bacterium
Lineage: Bacteria
Description: partial 16S ribosomal RNA
Rfam family: Bacterial small subunit ribosomal RNA
Source: RNAcentral
GUGCCAGCAGCCGCGGUAAUACGGAGGGUGCAAGCGUUAUCCGGAUUCACUGGGUUUAAAGGGUGCGUAGGCGGGUAGGUAAGUCAGAGGUGAAAUCCUAGAGCUUAACUCUAGAACUGCCUUUGAUACUAUCUAUCUUGAAUAUUGUGGAGGUAAGCGGAAUAUGUCAUGUAGCGGUGAAAUGCUUAGAUAUGACACAGAACACCUAUUGCGAAGGCAGCUUACUACGCAUAUAUUGACGCUGAGGCACGAAAGCGUGGGGAUCAAACAAGAUUAGAAACCCUGGUAGUCC